GACGAACGCUGGCGGCGUGCCUAAUACAUGCAAGUCGAGCGGACGAAUCGAAAGCUUGCUUUUGAUUCGUUAGCGGCGGACGGGUGAGUAACACGUGGGCAACCUGCCCUGUAGACGGGGAUAACACCGAGAAAUCGGUGCUAAUACCGGAUAACACGAAAUGUCGCAUGACGUUUCGUUGAAAGACGGCGCAAGCUGCCGCUACAGGAUGGGCCCGCGGCGCAUUAGCUAGUUGGUGAGGUAGCGGCUCACCAAGGCGACGAUACGUAGCCGACCUGAGAGGGUGAUCGGCCACACUGGGACUGAGACGCGGCCCAGACUCCUACGGGAGGCAGCAGUAGGGAAUCUUCCGCAAUGGACGAAAGUCUGACGGAGCAACGCCGCGUGAGCGAAGAAGGCCUUCGGGUCGUAAAGCUCUGUUGUUAGGGAAGAACAAGUAACGCAGUAACUGGCGUUACCGUGACGGUACCUAACGAGAAAGCCACGGCUAACUACGUG
This 498-nucleotide ribosomal RNA is filed under the name uncultured bacterium. RNAcentral describes it as "partial 16S ribosomal RNA". It matches the Rfam family "Bacterial small subunit ribosomal RNA", at positions 28 to 507 of the family's 1533-position model. The record is from RNAcentral.